CAUCUACAUCCUCUCUUAAUUUUAAUAUGAUGUAUCUUACGUACAUGUCCCUCCAGAUACCUGUUUUGGUUUUUUUGGUAUUUUCAGAAAGAUAAUUUGGACUUUUCACAUCUUUUUUCCUAUUUUGUUUUUUGUUCUUUGGGCUUGUCGCCCGUGUUUUCCUUGCUUCCCUCUGCCUUCUUUUUUAUUUUUUGCAUCUAUCUUCUUCUUUUGUUUUUUGUUCUUUGGGUUUGCCGCCCGUAUUUCUUUGCUUCCCUCUCCCUUCAACGUUGCUGUGUUGUUGCUGGUAUUCGUUCAGCUUUUCACUGUGGUUUGCUGGGUAUUCUUAAGGUUGGAUUGAUUAUUCAGAAAUGGAAAAUUGUUCACUACCCAAGAUCUGGGAAUGGUAUUGCCGAUGUGGGCAAGAUUGAAGAUCUGCUGAUGGUUAUGCCUUAAUUCUUUCUCUGCUGAUUUUUUCUUUCAUUUAUCAUGUUACUGAAAAGUUCUCUGUUUUUUGUUGUAGUCUCUUUGAUGGUGCCUUGGUCAUUUUCUAAAAUGAACGACAUUCUGUUCCAUCUUUUUUGCUAGUGUUAUUUCUUUUGGAUUUUUUUAUCUCUGAUUGGCUCGAUUGCCUUUUCUUUGCUGUUUAUGUUUUAUUGGUGACUAUGUCUAGCUAUUUUUGGUUGCAAGCUUUGUUGCUGAUUUUCAUUUUAUGGCCUUUGUCUUGCUGUCAUUGUUGGGAUUUAUUUGAAAACUGAUCCGGGAGUAUGGGAUUGUUUCAUUGAGUUUGUUGAUUUUUGCAAGCUGAUUCUGUAGUGAUGGAAGACGUCAUCGCCUAGUCUGUUGUCGUGAUAAAAGCAAGGCGAGAGUAUAAAGGAAGAGCAGGUGGUAGACCAUGUUCUUGAUUGCAGUUAGGCAAAACAAAUAGUAGCUCCUCAUUAACUAUUUGAAAGAAUAUCCCAUGAAAAGGGACAGAAAGGAAGCAAGGUGUUUCUAUGUGCAAAAAAAAAUUUACGGGAAUCACAUCAUGGAUCUCUUGCAGAUUGAAUUAGUACUUCAUGCUAUAUGAAAUGUGGAAGGUCUCCUUAUGCUCAGAGUUCAUAUGACAUCUAAUGUUCCUCCCGAUGAUACCCUUAAAGUGAGGGUUAAACUAGUAAAUGCCAUACUUGAUUGGCUUUCUUCCCUCUUUCGGUUUCAGGAUAGUUCAUGGUAUGCGCAUUAAAGAUGGAAAAGCAACAUGUCUCCCAAUGUCGUUUGGAGGUGCUAAAUUUAUGAAGGUGUGUUCAGAUAAUCACCAUGCACCAAAGAAAAGAACACAUGCUAGUGGAUAUAGAAGUCGUUUUGAUCAUAAUAAGUUUGUUUUGGUCGAAGUUGAGAAGCGCAACAUCUAGUCCCUAUUGCAAAAAUUCCCAAUACUAGAGGAUGGCAUCAAUGUUCGAAGAGGGCUUUAUCUUGACAUCUACAAUAUUAUCGAUGCAUGGCAAUGGGAGGAAUUUUACGCCCAGCUAGAGGUAGCGGUAAUGCCUGUUGUUUUGAAAUUCUAUGCCAAUGCUGUUAAACAUGAUGAUGGGUGACCAUUCAUUUGAAGACGUCAGCUAUCUUUCGAUGCUCACACUAUUAAUCAAUUUUACAACACACUUGACAUUGAAAACGAUGAGUAUGGCUAAUUUGUGAAUGGUGAAGUCGAUUUGGAUGAAGUUCUAGGGGCAUUUAGCAUUGUGGGUACUGAAUGGAAAUUGCACAAGGGUGUUCCAAUUUCUUUCAAAGCUAAUGCCAUGGAUAAUGACUACAAAGUAUGGUAUCAUUUCUUAGUUGUAAAGAUGCUUCCUAUGAAUCACUUGAGCAUUGUGACAAAAGGAUUGAAUGAUCCUCUUGUAUACAAUUAUGAUUGGGAAAUCUAUUAACAUUGGGCAAUUGAUCUUCAACAACAUUAUCAUGUCAACCUAUUUACUACAUGGCGGAUUGUGGUAUCCAUUCUUGAUCAUUGCUUUGUGCCGUCAAGCCAGAGUUGUUUGGUCACCAAAUGAAGAGUUGUUACAUUCGAAGAUUUCAUUGGAUGGUGGGAUUAUCCAUAUGUAAACAAACUAUUAUUGGAGGAAGUUCAUUUGCUGCACCUCAGCCACAGUGGCGUACCCAAAAUCUUUCCAUGUCUUAAUGAAUGGAAUGGCUUGAGCAUCGCAUGGAUGACCAAGUAGAGUGUUUAAAAGCCAUUGAAGAGAUGAUGAGGGCAUAUGCCGAGCAUGUUAGCAUGGACAUGGCUACCUUCCCCAUGUUGCUCGCGGUUCCCACCUUGGCUGAUAAUGAUGAUGCUACUACGAAGGAGGAUGAUGAUUGACUUCAUUUGCAAGUUUGGGGGAGUUUUCACUUUUUUGACUUUCAAGAACAUUAGAGACAAUGUUCACUUUAAGUUUUUUUUUUUUUGGGGGGGGGGGAUUUUUGUAUUUUCUUUUAUUAUAUUGCGUUUAUGAUUAAACUAGUCAGUUUGCAUGUUA
This is a non-coding RNA of Theobroma cacao (cacao), 2471 nucleotides long. Lineage: Eukaryota; Viridiplantae; Streptophyta; Magnoliopsida; Malvales; Malvaceae. The record is from RefSeq and is a predicted model, not a curated record.